Molecule: ribosomal RNA, 1005 nt
Filed under: marine metagenome
Description: bacterial SSU rRNA
Rfam family: Bacterial small subunit ribosomal RNA
Source: RNAcentral
AGAGUUUGAUCAUGGCUCAGAACGAACGCUGGCGGAAUGCUUUACACAUGCAAGUCGAACGAGUACUUUUUACGAGUGGCGAACGGGUGAGUAACGCGUGGGAACCUACCUUGAGGUAAAGAAUAACUACAGGAAACUGUAGCUAAUACUUUAUGUGCUCUACGGAGGAAAAAUUUAUUGCCUUUUGAGGGGCCCGCGUCAGAUUAGCUUGUUGGUGAGGUAAUGGCUUACCAAGGCAAUGAUCUGUAGCUGGUUUGAGAGGAUGAUCAGCCACAUUGGGACUGAGACACGGCCCUGACUCCUACGGGAGGCAGCAGUGGGGAAUCUUGGACAAUGGGGGAAACCCUGAUCCAGCAAUUCCGCGUGAACGAUGAAGGCCUUAGGGUUGUAAAGUUCUUUUAGUAAGGAAGAUGAUGACGGUACUUACAGAAAAAGCUCCGGCUAACUCCGUGCCAGCAGCCGCGGUAAUACGGAGGGGGCAAGCGUUGUUCGGAAUUACUGGGCGUAAAGAGCGAGCAGGUGGUUCAUUUAGUCAAUUGUGAAAUCUCAAGGCUUAACCUUGAAAUUGCUUUUGAUACUGAUGAACUAGAGUUUGGGAGAGGAUAGUGGAAUUCUAAGUGUAGAAGUGAAAUUCGUAGAUAUUUAGAGGAACACCGACAGCGAAGGCAACUAUCUGGCCCUUUACUGACACUCAGAAGCGAAAGCUUGGGUAGCAAACAGGAUUAGAUACCCUGGUAGUCCAUGCUGUAAACGAUGAGUGCUAGAUGUUAGAAGUUUACUUCUAGUAUCGAAGCUAACGCGUUAAGCACUCCGCCUGGGGAGUACGGCCGCAAGGCUAAAACUCAAAUGAAUUGACGGGGACCCGCACAAGCAGUGGAGCAUGUGGUUUAAUUCGACGCUACGCGAAGAACCUUACCAGCUCUUGACAUGCUAAGUUUUGGAUUUGAGAGAUUAAAUCCUUCAGUUCGGCUGGGCUUAGUACAGGUGCUGCAUGGCUGUCGUCAG